Molecule: long non-coding RNA, 228 nt
Filed under: Carica papaya (papaya)
Lineage: Eukaryota; Viridiplantae; Streptophyta; Magnoliopsida; Brassicales; Caricaceae
Description: long non-coding RNA (CPAP_LNC002067)
Source: RNAcentral
GGGGAGGGGGACAGCGAUAUCCCGGAUGGUGCUAGGGGAACAGAUACCCCUCAGAGAUAAAAAGCCUAACGAGACACUUGAUGCAUUAUGCAUGUCAGUAUAGAUACAUACUUCGGACCAUUCAUGUUUCAUUCCACUUUAUCUUUUUUUUUUGUUUCUUUUAACUUUCUAGAUAACAAUACCGAGUUCAUAUUAAUUUUUAUUACAUGCAAAACAUCAAGUGUUUAU